GUGACUGCGUACCUUUUGUAUAAUGGGUCAGCGACUUAUAUUCUGUAGCAAGGUUAACCGAAUAGGGGAGCCGGAGGGAAACCGAGUCUUAAUUGGGCGUUAAGUUGCAGGGUAUAGACCCGAAACCCGGUGAUCUAGCCAUGGGCAGGUUGAAGGUUGGGUAACACUAACUGGAGGACCGAACCGACUAAUGUUGAAAAAUUAGCGGAUGACCUGUGGCUGGGGGUGAAAGGCCAAUCAAACCGGGAGAUAGCUGGUUCUCCCCGAAAGCUAUUUAGGUAGCGCCUCGUGAAUUCAUCUCCGGGGGUAGAGCACUGUUUCGGCUAGGGGGCCAUCCCGGCUUACCAACCCGAUGCAAACUGCGAAUACCGGAGAAUGUUAUCACGGGAGACACACGGCGGGUGCUAACGUCCGUCGUGAAGAGGGAAACAACCCAGACCGCCAGCUAAGGUCCCAAAGUCAUGGUUAAGUGGGAAACGAUGUGGGAAGGCCCAGACAGCCAGGAUGUUGGCUUAGAAGCAGCCAUCAUUUAAAGAAAGCGUAAUAGCUCACUGGUCGAGUCGGCCUGCGCGGAAGAUGUAACGGGGCUAAACCAUGCACCGAAGCUGCGGCAGCGACACUGUGUGUUGUUGGGUAGGGGAGCGUUCUGUAAGCCUGCGAAGGUGUCCC
Molecule: ribosomal RNA, 669 nt
Filed under: Salmonella enterica subsp. enterica serovar Kentucky
Lineage: Bacteria; Pseudomonadati; Pseudomonadota; Gammaproteobacteria; Enterobacterales; Enterobacteriaceae
Description: partial 23S ribosomal RNA
Rfam family: Bacterial large subunit ribosomal RNA
Source: RNAcentral